UUUUUUUUUUUUUUGAAUGCUUGGAUUAGGAUGGGUAUAAAUAGGUGGAUGUAUAUUUUUUCUUAUAUAAUAGUGACAGGGCAUUUCCUUGUUUUAAAUAAAAAAAUAAAGAUGAUUGUCUCUAAAUGCUUUUGAUUUGUAAAUAAUGGAAAGCCUUUGUUGGUCUCAGGAAGAAUUCAAGGGACAGUAUCUUGUGUUUGGCUCACUGGGAACUUGUGAGAUAAGAUGUGAUACUGCUUUUUUGCUAGGCAGAAAGGCAAAAUGCAUUUAGCAGUAAUGGGCAAAAGCAGUUUUACUCCAGUGUUUGGAGAGUAACCUUGGGAGUGAUUGUGUAGGAAAGUUGUAGUGGAGGAUGUUGAGGCCAUGUCAUAGAGUUGUUCCUUGGAGAUUGUCCAUCUCUCAGCUGUUCAUCUGGACCAAACAGACUGAAUUAGAGGCCUAAUCCAGCUCCCUUUUAAGACAAUAGGAAUUUGCAAUGAUUACAUGGGAUUUAGUGCUUUGGGAGAUUUAUCUUUGAUUUGACAGGGGUAGGACUGUGAGUUUUCUAAACCUCCACCUUUGUCUCUGAUUUAAUCCUAUCUUUUAAACUGCCUUUCGUGUUAAUUUGCCAUACAAAACCCAUCUUUUUUUGGCACUAAUCACCUCCUGCUGAUUCUACCAUUUUGUGCUCUCAGUGUAAAAGCAAUAAUCCCUUUUUUUUUUUCCCUUAAAACUAGAUGGUAUGUUUUUGUACAAGCCCCAGCUCUGAGCUCUGUGUGCUGAUGGGUCUUGAUACCCUUUCAAAGAGGCUUCUAUAAAGAGCAUUAAUAGGGAGAAAUAGGGAAUGUCAUUCCUCCUCUGUUCUCUUCUCCCUGGCUUUAAAUUACUAGGUAUAUCAAAUAUGUUCAUGUUCUAAUUUCCAUAUUCGUGCUUCAACAAGUAGACGAAAAUAAGUAUCCAUGACUUUGACACCCCUAUACAGCUUCCUUUGGGAUUAUGCAUUGCUGUGGUGUGAAAACCUCCAUUAAGAUUAGUGAAGAAAUAGUUUAGGAUUCUUAAUGAGGACGGGUGAGGAUUGACUUCUUCAGCCUAACGUGUGGGGAUAACAUCCCUCAACACAGUAGGAGAGAAUGCUGGGUGCAUUAAUGCUCUACUGCUGGCACCAUGUCCUAAGGCUGAUGGCAGAAGUAUUGAAGCAAGCAUACUUAGAAAAGUGGUUUCAGGAUGUGUUAAACCACCUCAGUGAUUGCCACCUAGAAGCUGGUUUCUGUCAGAAUGGCCCGUGGGGUUCACAGUGCUGUCCAAACUCACUACCGCAGUCUUUGCUUGUGGCAUUCCAGAAGUGCAAAUCAAUGCACUUUUCCUGCUAAGGAGACAAGGAAAAGUAUGCCUGGAAUAUACACAUCAAUAUCAUGUACAGCUGCUAGGUGUAUCUGACACUGGCGAAAAGCAGGAAAAGUUUGGGGUUUUGCAGAACUCGAGUGAAAUUCUGUCUGCCUAGCAAAGAAGAACUUGUGUAAUGGGACUUUUAGCAAAGUUUAAACAGUUUUGUGGGGAUAAAACCCCAUCCAAACCAACAGUUAUAUCUUAUAAAACAUUGGUUAACUUUUUCCUUUUGUCCUUUGAGAGGAAAAUUAUCUUUAAAUGUCCUAGAGAUCAUGUUGAACUCCAGAAGUUCAAAGCUGUUACAUACUCUAGCUGAUUUACUACUACAAUCUUCCCUCUGGAACCAUAAAUGAAGAAUAAAUUUUAAUACAUGGGGUGUUUAACUAGGGAAGAAACUUACCUCGGCACGUCAUGGGUCAUCCGCUACUUAGAGUCUUUACGUUAAAACUUAAUGGCUUUAUGAAAGGUCUGCUUUAGUUUAGUUGAAAUUUAUAAAUGUUGUUGAAGAAAUCCAUGUAUGUUGAUAUGAAGGACCCAGAGUAGAUGUCUGUAUGAGUGUGUAUGUGGGACAGUGUUUUGCUAAGAUGUAUCUGCAUUCCUUAGUAUUUUAAAAUAUGUUUCUUUUUAUUUGCUGCUUGAAGAACCCACAAUUCUGUCCAAUCUAUAUUUUUGUUACACAUGAGAAUUUAAAGUGGGAAGACAUUUCCUUUGCAAGACUGCACACAUUUGGACGUUUGCAUGAGCUCUUGCAGGACUUUGCAUGGCCACAAAGAACUCACACGUGUACACAUCAAUACACCAGGCAAAAUAUGCCUCUCUCUUUCGUCCUUUUGUGGUUCUUGGCUCAUAUGUGAGUAAUGACUUGGGCUCUCUGGAACUAGAACAGACAGUGAAAGGGAAGCCUUUGUCCAAGGUUAAUUCCAGCUUUUCAGUUACACAUGAAAAAUUGGUCAGCGAAAGGUGAGCUGAUUUUUGUCUGCUCUAUCUCUGACUUCUUAUUGCCCUUCAUAGAAUCACAGAAUGGUUUGGGUUGGAAAGGACCUUAAGCUCAUCCAGUUCCAACCCCCUGCUAUGGGCAGGGGCACCUCACCUUAAACCAUGUCACCCAAGGCUCUGUCCAACCUGGCCUUGAACACUGCCAGGGAUGGCGCAUUUACCACUUCUUUGGGCAGCCUGUUCCAGUGCCUCCCCAGC
RNAcentral lists this long non-coding RNA (2559 nucleotides) under Strigops habroptila (Kakapo). Its description in RNAcentral is "lncRNA (ENSSHBG00005001218.1)". Lineage: Eukaryota; Metazoa; Chordata; Aves; Psittaciformes; Psittacidae. The record is from RNAcentral.